Molecule: small RNA, 29 nt
Filed under: Bombyx mori (domestic silkworm)
Lineage: Eukaryota; Metazoa; Arthropoda; Insecta; Lepidoptera; Bombycidae
Description: ovarian small RNA-11900
Source: RNAcentral
AGACUGGUUCUUGUGUUGCAUUCAUAAAC